Molecule: ribosomal RNA, 509 nt
Filed under: uncultured glomeraceous AM fungus
Lineage: Eukaryota; Fungi; Glomeromycota; Glomeromycetes; Glomerales; Glomeraceae
Description: SSU rRNA
Rfam family: Eukaryotic small subunit ribosomal RNA
Source: RNAcentral
GGCAGCCGCGGUAAUUCCAGCUCCAAUAGCGUAUAUUGAAGUUGUUGCAGUUAAAAAGCUCGUAGUUGAAUUUCGGGAUCAAUGUUUCGGUCAUGCCCUUGGUAUGUACUGAUAUUAUUGGUUUCUCACCUUCUAAAGAACCGUAAUGCCAUUAAUUUGGUGUCACGGGGAAUUAGGACUGUUACCUUGAAAAAAUUAGAGUGUUUAAAGCAGGCUCACGCUUGAAUACAUUAGCAUGGAAUAAUGAAAUAGGACAUCCGAUUCUAUUUUGUUGGUUUCUAGGAUCGAUGUAAUGAUUAAUAGGGAUAGUUGGGGGCAUUAGUAUUCAAUUGUCAGAGGUGAAAUUCUUGGAUUUAUUGAAGACUAACUACUGCGAAAGCAUUUGCCAAGGAUGUUUUCAUUAAUCAAGAACGAAAGUUAGGGGACCGAAGACGAUCAGAUACCGUCGUAGUCUUAACCAUAAACUAUGCCGACUAGGGAUCGGAUGAUGUUAAUUUUUUAAUGACUCA